Humulus lupulus (European hop) is the source of this 658-nucleotide long non-coding RNA. RefSeq lists it as uncharacterized. The transcript is spliced from 2 exons. The record is from RefSeq and is a predicted model, not a curated record. Lineage: Eukaryota; Viridiplantae; Streptophyta; Magnoliopsida; Rosales; Cannabaceae.
AUCAGAAUGUACAUUUUGGUCCUUUUGUAGAUGAUGAAUUUACUCUCUCUCUCUCUCUUGAAUAUUUUUAUUCAUUACAAUCCUUUUUCCCCCUGCACGAUGAGCAAAGGAGCUUUUGUUUAAUUGAUGACACAAAUAAUCUGGUGCCAUUUACUUGGUUAAAGUUUUUUGUAGUGAGGCUAAUCAUGCUUGCAUUGUUUUAGGUUCGUCGCCUGAAAGAAUUUGGGGUUACCAAGGGAGAAUUGACUCACUAUUUGGAUGCACUUUUGAAAGAUAGUGAACAUCUAGCAGCUAUGAUUGAUAAUGUGUCAUCCGUAGAUAAUUUGGAUUUCAUUAUGGAGAGUGACGCAUUGGGCCAUACAGUAAUGGACCAGAGGCAAGGACAUGAGAGUUUGGUCACUGUUGCUGGAACAAUUAAACUUGAGGAGGUCUAUAUUGAGAUGCAUUUCUUUAGCGCAAUACUAGACAACAAAGAUAGUUGAAGCUUUUAGAAUCAAAAUUAUAUUUCACUAACUUUGUAUACAUUUCUUGUUUAAUAUUUGGUGAUGAUAGAAUUUGACUAUAGUAUAAACUAUCAUGUAAUAUGAUUUUGUAAGUCGAGAAGACUAAAUACUGGAAUGAUAUUUUUGAGUAAUUAAUAAAAAAUUAUUUUGUUGUA